CCUACGGGAGGCAGCAGUGAGGGAUAUUGGUCAAUGGCCGGAAGGCUGAACCAGCCAUGCCGCGUGAAGGUCAGUGCCCUAUGGGCGUUAAACUUCUUUUGUGCGGGAGCAAUAAUGGUCACGUGUGGCCAGACGAGAGUACCGUACGAAUAAGCAUCGGCUAACUCCGUGCCAGCAGCCGCGGUAAUACGGGGGAUGCAAGGGUUAUACGGAGUUAUUGGGUGUAACGGGGGCGUAGGAUGGGAGGUAAGUCAGCGGGGAAAUGCCCCCGCUCAACGGGGUGAAGUGCCAUUGAUACUGCCUGGCUGGAAUGCGGGUGCGGUGGGAGGAAUGUGUGGUGUAGCGGUGAAAUGCGUAGAUAUCA
This 364-nucleotide ribosomal RNA is filed under the name uncultured bacterium. RNAcentral describes it as "partial 16S ribosomal RNA". It matches the Rfam family "Bacterial small subunit ribosomal RNA", at positions 338 to 699 of the family's 1533-position model. The record is from RNAcentral.